This 53-nucleotide non-coding RNA is filed under the name Prorocentrum micans. Lineage: Eukaryota; Dinophyceae; Prorocentrales; Prorocentraceae. The record is from RNAcentral.
UUUUUUUUUUUUUUUUUUUUUUUUUUUUAUCGAUGAACCAACUCGUCGCAUUU